GACGAACGCUGGCGGCGUGCUUAACACAUGCAAGUCGAACGGAAAGGCCUUUUCUGAGGUACUCGAGUGGCGAACUGGUGAGUAACACGUGGGUGAUCUGCCCUGCACUCUGGGAUACGCCUGGGAAACUGGGUCUAAUACCGGAUAGUACCGCACUUUGGUGUGUGUGGUGGAAAGUUUUUUCGGUGUAGGAUGAGCCCGCGGCCUAUCAGCUUGUUGGUGGGGUAAUGGCCUACCAAGGCGGCGACGGGUAGCCGGACUGAGAGGUUGGUCGGCCACAUUGGGACUGAGAUACGGCCCAGACUCCUACGGGAGGCAGCAGUGGGGAAUAGUGCACAAUGGGCGCAAGCCUGAUGCAGCGACGCCGCGUGGGGGAUGACGGCCUUCGGGUUGUAAACUCCUUUCGCCAGGGACGAAGCGUUUUGUGACGGUACCUGGAGAAGAAGCACCGGCUAACUACGUG
This 463-nucleotide ribosomal RNA is filed under the name uncultured bacterium. RNAcentral describes it as "partial 16S ribosomal RNA". It matches the Rfam family "Bacterial small subunit ribosomal RNA", at positions 28 to 507 of the family's 1533-position model. The record is from RNAcentral.